UACGUAGGGAGCAAGCGUUGUCCGGAUUUACUGGGUGUAAAGGGUGCGUAGGCGGCUUGGUAAGUCAGGUGUGAAAUGUAGAGGCUCAACCUCUGAACUGCACUUGAAACUAUCGAGCUUGAGUGAUGUAAAGGCAGGCGGAAUUCCCUGUGUAGCGGUGUAAUGCGUAGAGAUAGGGAGGAACACCAGUGGCGAAGGCGGCCUGCUGGGCAUUAACUGUCGCUGAGGCACGAAAGCGUGGGCAGCAAAC
Molecule: ribosomal RNA, 250 nt
Filed under: uncultured prokaryote
Description: partial 16S ribosomal RNA
Rfam family: Bacterial small subunit ribosomal RNA
Source: RNAcentral